Molecule: microRNA precursor, 106 nt
Filed under: Marmota monax (woodchuck)
Lineage: Eukaryota; Metazoa; Chordata; Mammalia; Rodentia; Sciuridae
Source: RNAcentral
ACACAAAUUACCCCUGGAAUACUGUUAAAACGCAGAUUCUGACUCAGCAGAUGUGAAGGAAGGCCUGAGAUUUUGCAUUUCUAGUAGGCUUCCAAGUGAUGCCAAU